Long non-coding RNA from Brachypodium distachyon (stiff brome), 142 nucleotides. RefSeq lists it as uncharacterized. The transcript is spliced from 4 exons. The record is from RefSeq and is a predicted model, not a curated record. NCBI's taxonomy places the organism in Eukaryota, Viridiplantae, Streptophyta, Magnoliopsida, Poales, Poaceae.
AGUUUCUGGAACAGAAGUUCAAUGAAUUCAUGGAUAACAUUACCUCAGAUGAUAAGAAGGAUAAAGCUCCUCAGAAGUGGAUUGCGGAGGCAGUUAAAAAACAGUUUGAUAUGUCAAAGACUUAUGAGCAGUAUAUCAGAAA